RNAcentral lists this long non-coding RNA (457 nucleotides) under Musa acuminata (dwarf banana). Its description in RNAcentral is "long non-coding RNA (MACU_LNC007081)". The record is from RNAcentral. Lineage: Eukaryota; Viridiplantae; Streptophyta; Magnoliopsida; Zingiberales; Musaceae.
UACAACGGAGCUAAAUCUCUGAUCCUUUUCACUGUUCCUCGCAGGAUCGACACGUAAAAGACGGUUCUUUUGCGAAGAAGAAGCGAUCUUUGAGGUGGAACUCCAGGAAAAGAGCAAGAACGCAAUCCGCAGCGUCAUCCUCUCGUUUGCAUGCUUCAACAUCGAAUUGAUAAGAUGAACGGAUCAAUCCAAGAUCAGAGGCUACGAGUUAAAGUUUCGGUGUUUCCCUGUCCUCGAAGGUAAAAAAAAUGAUUCCUUUUCCUUUAGGAGGAACUCAAGAAAGGGAUGACAAGAACGCAAUGCGUCAAGUCGCUCUCUUGCUUUGGCAAAAACGAUCACUCUUUUAUCGACAUUUGAAGAAAAGGGAUGCAUAGAAGUAAAAAAUGAAGCUUUUUUUGGAGAAUCAGAACAGGGCGAAGAAGGGAAGGAGAACAAAGAAGAAGCAGAGGAGAAGGAA